RNAcentral lists this ribosomal RNA (494 nucleotides) under uncultured archaeon. Its description in RNAcentral is "bacterial SSU rRNA". It matches the Rfam family "Archaeal small subunit ribosomal RNA", at positions 858 to 1354 of the family's 1478-position model. The record is from RNAcentral.
GAGGAAUUGGCGGGGGAGCACCGCAACGGGAGGAGCGUGCGGUUUAAUUGGAUUCAACACCGGAAAACUCACCAGCGGCGACUGUUACAUGAAAGUCAGGCCGAUGACCUUACUAGAUUUUCAGAGAGGUGGUGCAUGGCCGUCGUCAGUUCGUACCGUAAGGCGUUCUCUUAAGUGAGAUAACGAACGAGACCCUCACCAAUAGUUGCUAUCCAUCCUCCGGGGUGGGAGCACACUAUUGGGACCGCUGGCGCUAAGUCAGAGGAAGGAGAGGUCAACGGUAGGUCAGUAUGCCCCGAAUCUGCUGGGCUACACGCGCGCUACAAAGGGCGGGACAAUGGGCUCCGACGCCGAAAGGCGAAGGCAAUCCCGAAACCCGUCCGUAGUUCGGAUUGAGGGUUGUAACUCACCCUCAUGAAGCUGGAUUCCGUAGUAAUCGCGAAUCAACAACUCCCGGUGAAUAUGCCCCUGCUCCUUGCACACACCGCAAGGUC